UGUGAAGCCCAGAACAGAAGAGGACGUCAUAACUCCAUCUUACAUCUGAUUGUUGUGGCAGGGAAUUCAUCAAUAAUAAUGAAUAUCAUCAGGUUGACUCUGGUGGUCUUGAUGCUGAUUACUCUGCUUCUCCUGAAUCUGUGGAUGAGGAAGAAGAAAACUCUGAGGUCCACCACAGAACCAAAUGAACCUAUAGAGUUAAACUCUGAUCCUGUGUAUGAGAACAUCUCAGACUUUAAGAGCGUCACUGCAGCACAGACAGAAGACACAGAGCAGCAGGAAGACAUGGUGUGAAGUCCAGUCAGAUGCAGUUGAACCAGACUCAUGGAAACAAAGUAGGACGACUGAAAUAUCAACGCAGAGAUCGAAGCUGUGGAGGAAGUGGAUCCAUUUACCUACAACUCCAAACGUUUUCCUUUUCAGUUUCCAGUAGCAGCAGCAGGGUGGAGUCAGCAGCACAGACAGCAGCCGCAUGUAGCAGAAAGUUUAGAAGAAGGUGGUGUUGGCAGGUUGAACUGAAUCAUGUCGACGUUUCAGACGUGAUUUAUUGUUUAGAUCAGCGGAUAGUCAGGUUGUCUGUGACUUAUCUUACUGCUUAAACUAUAAUGUAAGCUUAUUAUUUCCAGUUAGUUAUAUUAGUUAGUUAUAUUACAGAAUGUGAGGACUGAACUGUGAAGUUUUUAUGGAAAAUGUUAUUUUGAACUGAACAAAAUAAACAACUUCUGUGUUUGCA
Long non-coding RNA from Micropterus salmoides (largemouth bass), 733 nucleotides. RefSeq lists it as uncharacterized. The transcript is spliced from 5 exons. Lineage: Eukaryota; Metazoa; Chordata; Actinopteri; Centrarchiformes; Centrarchidae. The record is from RefSeq and is a predicted model, not a curated record.